UUAUAAUGCUCCAAAAAUUCUCAAAAAAUUCAUGAUUAAAUUCUAGGAUAUUAUUUAAUUUUCUAUAUUUUUUAUUUUAUUUUUAUAAUUGUUUUGAUAUUUUAUUUUAAUUUUAUCUUGAAAUGUGUUUGGUUAGACCUGGUUUUUGAUUUAGGGUUUGAUUCUUUAUGUUUCCCUUUGACUUUUAACCCCAAUUUUUCUACACACUUGGGAACCUGUAUGUAGGACAUUUUGGUAUUAUUUUUAUGAUUUAAUAUUUAAUUUAGGGUCAUUUUUGAAUUUGUUCUUGAUGCUUAACUUGUAUGAUCAAUGAUACAUUGUAAUGCUUGAUGAUUAACAUAAUUUUGAACUUGUUCUUCAGCCAACCUUUUGGGAAUUUUUAG
Molecule: long non-coding RNA, 383 nt
Filed under: Lathyrus oleraceus (garden pea)
Lineage: Eukaryota; Viridiplantae; Streptophyta; Magnoliopsida; Fabales; Fabaceae
Description: Pisum sativum (pea) long non-coding RNA (PSAT_LNC014087)
Source: RNAcentral